RNAcentral lists this ribosomal RNA (497 nucleotides) under uncultured bacterium. RNAcentral describes it as "partial 16S ribosomal RNA". It matches the Rfam family "Bacterial small subunit ribosomal RNA", at positions 28 to 507 of the family's 1533-position model. The record is from RNAcentral.
GAUGAACGCUGGCGGCGUGCCUAAUACAUGCAAGUCGAGCGAACAGACGAUGAGCUUGCUCCUUUGUCGUUUGCGGCGGACGUGUGAGUAACACGUAGGUAACCUACCUAUAAGUCUGGUAUCACUUCGGGAAACCGGCUCUAAUACCGUAUAAUAUUUCGAACCGCAUGGUUCGAUAGUGAAAGAUGGCUUUGCUAUCACUUCUCGAUGAACCUGCGCCGUAUUAGCUAGUUGUUAAGGUAACGGCUUACCAAGGCAACGAUACGUAGCCGACGUGAGAGGGUGAUAGGCGACACGGGAAGUGAGACACGGUCCAGACGACUACGGGAGGCAGCAGUAGGGAAUCUUACGCAAUGGGCGAAAGCAUGACAGAGCAGGGCCGCGUGAGUGGUGAAGGUGUUCGGAUCGUAAAAAUCUGUUAUUAGGGAAGAACAAACGUGGAAGGAAAUGAGCACGGAGUGACGGUAACUAAUCAGAAAGCAACGGCUAACUACGUG